This 497-nucleotide ribosomal RNA is filed under the name uncultured bacterium. Its description in RNAcentral is "partial 16S ribosomal RNA". It matches the Rfam family "Bacterial small subunit ribosomal RNA", at positions 28 to 507 of the family's 1533-position model. The record is from RNAcentral.
GAUGAACGCUGGCGGCGUGCCUAAUACAUGCAAGUCGAGCGAACAGACCAGGAGCUUGCUCCUCUGACGUUAGCGGGGGACGGGUGAGUCACACGUGGAUAACCUACCUAUCCGACUGGGAUAACUUCGGGAAACCGUAGCUAAUACCGGAUAAUAUAUUGAACCGCAUGGUUCAAUAGUGAAAGACGGUUUUGCGGUGAGUUAAAGACGAAUACGCGCCGCAUUAGUUAGUUGGUAAGGUAACGGCUUACCAAGGCAACGAGGGGUAGCCGACCUGAGAGGGUCAUCGGCCACACUGGAACUGAGACACGUCCCAGACUCUGACAGGAGGCAGCAGUAGGGAAUCUUCCGCGAAGCGCGAGAGCCUGACGGAGCAACGCCGCGUGAGUGAUGAAGGUCUUCGGAUCGUAGAACUAUGUUAUUAGUGAAGAUCAAAAGUGUAUGUAACUAUGCACGUCUUGACGGUACCUAGUCAGAAAGCCACGGCUAACUACGUG